UUCUCGGUGGCGCAGUUGGUUAGUGUGCUUAUCUAGAAACUAAGAGGCUGCAGGUUCGAUCCCUGCUCUGAGCAA
Molecule: non-coding RNA, 75 nt
Organism: Paramuricea clavata
Lineage: Eukaryota; Metazoa; Cnidaria; Anthozoa; Malacalcyonacea; Plexauridae
Source: the annotation of a GenBank genome assembly